Molecule: long non-coding RNA, 2819 nt
Organism: Lycium barbarum (goji berry)
Lineage: Eukaryota; Viridiplantae; Streptophyta; Magnoliopsida; Solanales; Solanaceae
Exons: 3
Source: RefSeq, a predicted model, not a curated record
CAUACAUUAGCAUUAACUACUUCCUUUAUAUAUAUGCAUUUACUCACAUAGUUAUAAUUACUUCAAAACCCCCUUUUUAUACAAAUAGUUUUGAGAGAGUAGUUUCUUUCCCGCAAUUCUUUAAAUAGGUAAUAAUAAUUAAAUAAUCCCUCUCUUGUUAAUUAAGCUAAGUUUAAAAACUGUCUUCGGAUAGGCUCUGAGGGAUGCUUAACACCUUCCCCUCAGGGUAAAUAAAACCCUUACCUAGAAUCUCACAGGUUUCAAAGACUAAAAAAUGGAGUUUAAAUUUUACAAAUGGUUUUCUAAUAUUUCCUAAAAUUAGGUGGCGACUCUGAAAAUUUGCAAAACCAGAGGAAACAUAAUCAUAAAUUGUAAACUAGUUUUAAUCCGUUGAGAAUAGGGCAUAACAUUUAACAGCAUGUUAUGCUGGUCUUAACAUAAAAAAAUUGGUAUUAUAGUCUAAAUUCUCUGAUUUUUUUCAAAUUCCUAUGGUCUGUUUAGUUGACCAUCAUAUGACUAAAUUGAAGGAUCAACCAAGUCCUUUUCUUUGUCAGUAAAGAAAAACAAUAAGUAUAUGUUAGAAAAUAUAAAGUCAGCUACAUUAAAAUACUAAGGUGUUUGAUUUCAAAUCUAUUCUCUCCCUCUCACAUUUUGGAACUAUCUUUCUUCUCUGAUUUCUCUACCCGCUAAAACCCCAAAGUUUAAUAUACUUUGGCUGGACUAAAGACCCUAAAUAAAUUACCAAGAAAAGGGAGGAGGAGUGCAAGAAAGAGGAUCCUCGACACAGAACCAACAAUCGUUGAAAACCAUCUAGAAGAAGCAACAGUUGAAAACCCUCCAGAACUAGCAGUAGUUAAAUCCCAUCGGACAACGAGAUCUGCAAGAGGAAACUUAUAGAAAGUCAAUCAAGAGAUGGAGAACCCUAAUUCUUGACAAAAAUUGAGUAAAAGGGGUAAUAAUGGUGAUGGAAAGGAGAAAAGAAAGCUUCUAGUCAAGGAACAUGCAGUGGUGGAAAACCGUCAAAGAGUAAGAUCUAGAUUAAAUUUUGAAGGUAAACUCUUAGAUAACUCUAUUGAAAUUGAAGGAGAGAAAAAAAAAUCUAUGUGCUAAUGAAUAGGCUGAGAUUGAACAGGAAGAAGAAGAAGAAGAAGAAGAAGAAGAAGAAGAAAAGGAUGCAGGCUCCGAUGACAAGUCUGCGAGUGACAAUGAAGGAGAGCAGUCUGAUGACAUGGAUGAUGGUGAAAAGGAAUGUGAAGAAUCCGUUGACAAGGAUUAUAGUGCAACUGAAUGUGAGGAAUUUGAUGAGCGUGAAAAGGAAUGUAAGGAAUCUGAUAACAAGGAUGAUGGUACAAUUGAAUGUGAGGAAUCUAAUGAGCGUGAAAAGGAAUGUGAGGAUCCGAUAAGAAUGCUGAGGGUGAAAAGGAAGGUAAGAAGUUGGAUGCAGGCUCCCAUAAGAAUGAUGGUUGCCAAAAGGAAGAUGAACUAUUGGCUAAGCUCAAAAAUGAAUUUUGGAAGGUGGAUGCAGGCUCCACUAAGAAUGCUGACUGCAAAAAGGAGGGUGAGCAAUUGGGUGCCGACUCCAAUGAGAAUAUUGAGAGUGAAAAAGAAGGAAAUGAAUCCAAUGACCUUAUUGAGGAUGAAAAGGAAGAAAGAGAUGAAUCAGGUGGAGACGGCGAAGAAAUCACGCAGAGAGAAGAAACCACCAUUGAGGAUGUAGGCUCCCCUAGGAAUACUGACUACGAAAAAGAAGGUAAGGAAUUGAUUACAGGCUGCAACGAGAAUGUUGAGAUUGAAAAGGAAGGACAUGAAUCCAGUGAAGGCUCCGAUGAUAAUGUUGAGGAUGAAAAAGAAGAAGGAGAUGGUGAAGAAACCACGCAGAGCAAAGAAACUGUCAUUGAGGAUGUUAAAAUGGCAGAAGAGAAAAAACUCUGUCGCUAUGGCAAUCGGUUGAUCCAUUUGGCUCUUGUAUAAUAAGCAUGCCGAGACGGAGGUGCAUCCUUUCCUUGUCCCUACUCAUAGCAGGCCAUAUAAAAGCUUCAUAAGGGACUUUGUUGAACUUAGAAAUGAUCUUCCGGACCAAAGAAUUGAUAGGCUGAGAGAACAAUUGCAAAGGGUGACUGCAAUAACAAGCACAAAACCUGCUGGAGUUGUAGGCUUGGGAGAUGGAGGUGGUUCAUCUGGUUAUGUUGGUGUAGAGGGGCUAGGAGUUGGAGGUGUUGGUAGCUCAGGCGUUUGCAGUCAAGGUGUCAAUGAUCCAACCACUAUAAAUAAAGUGCUACAAAGGUGGAAAGUAUCCGAGAGGUAAAUACUACUAUUCUCGAGAGACUAGAGCAGCAUAGGAAUAGUAAUAUUAAAUGAGGUAGAGAUAAGCAGAGAGUUGAGGGAGCAGCAGAUGAAAAUAUGAAGAAGCUUGAUCUCUACAAACCUAUUGAAAUUGAGAAGAAGAAAGCUUACCUCACAUGGAUAAACAGUAGGUCAAAGGAACCACACCUAGGUCAUACCAUAGAAAUGAGCUGGAAAAUGCUUAAGUACAUUAGCAGAUCUGGCUCAUGGUUAGAAGGAGAGGUAAGUUAACUUCCCAUUUAUUUGUUGUCUAAACAUAUUUUUUGUUGCAUAUAUUGUCAUGACCCAAUUUAGCUAAGUCACGUGUGAACCUACCUUUCCUACCUCGGUAGGCGAAUUGUCACGCCCCGAACCAUGGCCUGGGCGAAACACGGCACUCGGUGCCAUACUGCAUAUGACCGAGCGAGCCCACAUGGCUUACUGAAUCAUCAUGAGGCAUACAUGAGCGAAAAUAUAGCAUGAACUUGAUGAGCUUU